AACGAACGUUAGCGGCGCGCCUAACACAUGCAAGUCGAGCGAGAAGGAAGCAAUUCCUGUAAAGCGGCGCACGGGUGAGUAACACGUAGGUAAUCUACCUCGAAGUGGUGGAUAACCUUCCGAAAGGAGGGCUAAUACAGCAUGAGACCACGGUUUCGAAAGAGAUUGAGGUCAAAGCGGGCCACUAUACAUAAGCUCGCGCUUCGAGAUGAGCCUGCGGCCCACUCAUGGUAGGUUGGUAGGGUAAGUAGGCCUACCAAGCCGAAGACGGGUAGCUGGUCUGAGAGGAUGAUCAGCCACACUGGAAC
RNAcentral lists this ribosomal RNA (308 nucleotides) under uncultured bacterium. RNAcentral describes it as "bacterial SSU rRNA". It matches the Rfam family "Bacterial small subunit ribosomal RNA", at positions 29 to 319 of the family's 1533-position model. The record is from RNAcentral.